GUGGGGGAUAUUGCACAAUGGGGGAAACCCUGAUGCAGCGACGCCGCGUGAAGGAAGACGUACUUCGGUAUGUAAACUUCUAUCAGCAGGGAAGAAGAUGACGGUACCUGACUAAGAAGCCCCGGCUAACUACGUGUCAGCAGCCGCGGUAAUACGUAGGGGGCAAGCGUUAUCCGGAUUUACUGGGUGUAAAGGGAGCGUAGACGGUGAAGCAAGUCUGAUGUGAAAACCCGGGGCUCAACUCCGGGAUUGCAUUGGAAACUGUUUUACUAGAGUGCUGGAGGGGCAAGCGGAAUUCCUGGUGUAGCGGUGAAAUGCGUAGAUAUCAGGAAGAACACCGGUGGCGAAGGCGGCUUGCUGGACAGUAACUGACGUUGAGGCUCGAAAGCGUGGGGAGCAAACAGGAUUAGAAACCCGAGUAGUCC
RNAcentral lists this ribosomal RNA (425 nucleotides) under uncultured bacterium. Its description in RNAcentral is "partial 16S ribosomal RNA". It matches the Rfam family "Bacterial small subunit ribosomal RNA", at positions 354 to 796 of the family's 1533-position model. The record is from RNAcentral.